UGAAGCGCGGCGGGAGAGUUCCGCUCGAAUCCACGGGCGGACGCCGAAGGAGCAAGUCCCUCCCCGGGAAUCUCUCAGGCAUCCGUACCGCCGCGAAGAG
This 100-nucleotide non-coding RNA is filed under the name Neomicrococcus aestuarii. RNAcentral's name for it is "Glycine sequence". It matches the Rfam family "Glycine riboswitch aptamer". From Rfam's summary of the family: This family represents the bacterial glycine riboswitch. The record is from Rfam by way of RNAcentral. Lineage: Bacteria; Bacillati; Actinomycetota; Actinomycetes; Micrococcales; Micrococcaceae.